This 497-nucleotide ribosomal RNA is filed under the name uncultured bacterium. Its description in RNAcentral is "partial 16S ribosomal RNA". It matches the Rfam family "Bacterial small subunit ribosomal RNA", at positions 28 to 507 of the family's 1533-position model. The record is from RNAcentral.
GACGAACGCUGGCGGCGUGCCUAAUACAUGCAAGUAGAACGCUGAAGCCUGGUGCUUGCACCGAGCGGAUGAGUUGCGAACGGGUGAGUAACGCGUAGGUAACCUGCCUGGUAGCGGGGGAUAACUAUUGGAAACGAUAGCUAAUACCGCAUAAGAGUAGAUGUUGCAUGACAUUUGCUUAAAAGGUGCAAUUGCAUCACUACCAGAUGGACCUGCGUUGUAUUAGCUAGUUGGUGAGGUAACGGCUCACCAAGGCAACGAUACAUAGCCGACCUGAGAGGGUGAUCGGCCACACUGGGACUGAGACACGGCCCAGACUCCUACGGGAGGCAGCAGUAGGGAAUCUUCGGCAAUGGACGGAAGUCUGACCGAGCAACGCCGCGUGAGUGAAGAAGGUUUUCGGAUCGUAAAGCUCUGUUGUAAGAGAAGAACGAGUGUGAGAGUGGAAAGUUCACACUGUGACGGUAUCUUACCAGAAAGGGACGGCUAACUACGUG